Molecule: signal recognition particle RNA, 288 nt
Filed under: Homo sapiens (human)
Lineage: Eukaryota; Metazoa; Chordata; Mammalia; Primates; Hominidae
Description: Metazoan signal recognition particle RNA
Rfam family: Metazoan signal recognition particle RNA
About the family: The signal recognition particle (SRP) is a universally conserved ribonucleoprotein. It is involved in the co-translational targeting of proteins to membranes. The eukaryotic SRP consists of a 300-nucleotide 7S RNA and six proteins: SRPs 72, 68, 54, 19, 14, and 9.
Source: Rfam by way of RNAcentral
GCCGGGCGCGGUGGCGCGUGCCUGUAGUCCCAGCUACUCGGGAGGCUGAGGCUGGAGGAUCGCUUGAGUCCAGGAGUUCUGGGCUGUAGUGCGCUAUGCCGAUCGGGUGUCCGCACUAAGUUCGGCAUCAAUAUGGUGACCUCCCGGGAGCGGGGGACCACCAGGUUGCCUAAGGAGGGGUGAACCGGCCCAGGUCGGAAACGGAGCAGGUCAAAACUCCCGUGCUGAUCAGUAGUGGGAUCGCGCCUGUGAAUAGCCACUGCACUCCAGCCUGGGCAACAUAGCGAG